Molecule: ribosomal RNA, 1556 nt
Filed under: Nostoc commune CCAP 1453/24
Lineage: Bacteria; Bacillati; Cyanobacteriota; Cyanophyceae; Nostocales; Nostocaceae
Description: bacterial SSU rRNA
Rfam family: Bacterial small subunit ribosomal RNA
Source: RNAcentral
UGAUCCUGGCUCAGGAUGAACGCUGGCGGUAUGCUUAACACAUGCAAGUCGAACGGUGUCUUCGGACACAGUGGCGGACGGGUGAGUAACGCGUGAGAAUCUGGCUUCAGGUCUGGGACAACCACUGGAAACGGUGGCUAAUACCGGAUGUGCCCUUCGGGGUGAAAGGUUAACUGCCUGAAGAUGAGCUCGCGUCUGAUUAGCUAGUUGGAAGUGUAAUGGACUCCCAAGGCGACGAUCCAGUAGCUGGUCUGAGAGGACGAUCAGCCACACUGGGACUGAGACACGGCCCAGACUCCUACGGGAGGCAGCAGUGGGGAAUUUUCCGCAAUGGGCGAAAGCCUGACGGAGCAAUACCGCGUGAGGGAGGAAGGCUCUUGGGUCGUAAACCUCUUUUCUCAGGGAAGAACACAAUGACGGUACCUGAGGAAUAAGCAUCGGCUAACUCCGUGCCAGCAGCCGCGGUAAUACGGAGGAUGCAAGCGUUAUCCGGAAUGAUUGGGCGUAAAGCGUCCGCAGGUGGCAAUGUAAGUCUGCUGUUAAAGAGUCUAGCUCAACUAGAUACAAGCAGUGGAAACUACAUAGCUAGAGUACGUUCGGGGCAGAGGGAAUUCCUGGUGUAGCGGUGAAAUGCGUAGAGAUCAGGAAGAACACCAGUGGCGAAGGCGCUCUGCUAGGCCGUAACUGACACUGAGGGACGAAAGCUAGGGGAGCGAAUGGGAUUAGAUACCCCAGUAGUCCUAGCCGUAAACGAUGGAUACUAGGCGUGGCUUGUAUCGACCCGAGCCGUGCCGUAGCUAACGCGUUAAGUAUCCCGCCUGGGGAGUACGCCGGCAACGGUGAAACUCAAAGGAAUUGACGGGGGCCCGCACAAGCGGUGGAGUAUGUGGUUUAAUUCGAUGCAACGCGAAGAACCUUACCAAGGCUUGACAUGUCGCGAAUCCUGGUGAAAGCUGGGAGUGCCUUCGGGAGCGCGAACACAGGUGGUGCAUGGCUGUCGUCAGCUCGUGUCGUGAGAUGUUGGGUUAAGUCCCGCAACGAGCGCAACCCUCGUUUUUAGUUGCCAGCAUUAAGUUGGGCACUCUAGAGAGACUGCCGGUGACAAACCGGAGGAAGGUGGGGAUGACGUCAAGUCAGCAUGCCCCUUACGCCUUGGGCUACACACGUACUACAAUGCUCCGGACAGAGGGCAGCAAGCGGGCGACCGCAAGCAAAUCCCGUAAACCGGAGCUCAGUUCAGAUCGCAGGCUGCAACUCGCCUGCGUGAAGGAGGAAUCGCUAGUAAUUGCAGGUCAGCAUACUGCAGUGAAUUCGUUCCCGGGCCUUGUACACACCGCCCGUCACACCAUGGAAGCUGGUAGUGCCCGAAGUCAUUACUCCAACCAUUCGUGGAGGAGGAUGCCUAAGGCAGGACUGGUGACUGGGGUGAAGUCGUAACAAGGUAGCCGUACCGGAAGGUGUGGCUGGAUCACCUCCUUUUUAGGGAGACCUACACCCCUUACAUAUCGAAAAACAAACAGUUAAAUAGAUAGUAAGUUGGUCAUUCCUUAGGUCGG